This 327-nucleotide unclassified non-coding RNA is filed under the name soil metagenome. Its description in RNAcentral is "partial contains 5.8S ribosomal RNA, internal transcribed spacer 2, and large subunit ribosomal RNA". The stretch from base 1 to 120 matches the Rfam family "5.8S ribosomal RNA", at positions 35 to 154 of the family's 154-position model. The record is from RNAcentral.
GAUGAAGAACGUAGCGAAAUGCGAUAAGUAAUGUGAAUUGCAGAAUUCAGUGAAUCAUCGAAUCUUUGAACGCACAUUGCGCCCCUUGGUAUUCCGAGGGGCAUGCCUGUUCGAGCGUCAUUAUAACCCCUCAAGCUCAGCUUGGUGUUGGGGCCUGCCGCACGGGCAGCCCUUAAAAUCAGUGGCGGUGCCAUCUGGCUCUAAGCGUAGUAAUUCUUCUCGCUAUAGAGUCCCGGUGGAUGCUUGCCAUUAACCCCCAAUUUUCUAUGGUUGACCUCGGAUCAGGUAGGGAUACCCGCUGAACUUAAGCAUAUCAUAAGCGGAGGA